CCCUUAGAUGUUCUGGGCCGCACGCGCGCUACACUGUUCGAAGCAGCGAGUCUUAACCUUGACCGAAAGGUUUGGGUAAUCUUCAGCAAAGUCGAACGUGAUGGGGAUCGAUCAUUGCAAUUAUUGAUCGUGAACGAGGAAUUCCUAGUAAGUGCAAGUCAUCAGCUUGCGCUGAUUACGUCCCUGCCCUUUGUACACACCGCCCGUCGCUACUACCGAUUGAAUGGUUUAGUGAGAUCUCUGGAUUGACGCUGGCUAGGGGGCGACCCUUGGCCAGACUGUUGAGAAACUGCUCAAACUUGAUCAUUUAGAGGAAGUAAAAGUCGUAACA
This 331-nucleotide ribosomal RNA is filed under the name uncultured eukaryote. RNAcentral describes it as "partial 18S ribosomal RNA". It matches the Rfam family "Eukaryotic small subunit ribosomal RNA", at positions 1470 to 1796 of the family's 1831-position model. The record is from RNAcentral.